Molecule: long non-coding RNA, 27193 nt
Filed under: Nicotiana tabacum (common tobacco)
Lineage: Eukaryota; Viridiplantae; Streptophyta; Magnoliopsida; Solanales; Solanaceae
Description: long non-coding RNA (NTAB_LNC014715)
Source: RNAcentral
GCCAUUUUUUCUCUAUCUUCCGGAGCAAUGAAGAUCUGAUUAUACCCCGAGUAUCCAUCUCGAAAGCAAAAGUGGGACCUCCCGGCCAGUCUAUCUAGCAUUUAAUCAAUGAACAGCAAGGGAAAGUGGUCUUUUCGGGUGGCCUUGUUUAAUCUUCUGUAGUCCAUACAAAUUCGUCAUCCCGUGACUGUUCUUGUUGAUAUCAACUCAUUGUUAUCGUUUUGCACUACAGUCAUCCCACCUUUCUUUGGCACACAUUGGACUGGGCUGAUCCAGUUGCUAUCGGAGAUGGAAAAAAUGAUCCCCGCAUCUAACCACUUUAUCACCUCCUUUUUCACAACUUCCUUCAUGUUGGGGUUCGGCCUUCUUUGAUGUUCUCUGGAAGGUUUGUGGCCAUCUUCCAGUAGAAUAUUAUGCAUACAGAAGGCCGGGUUGAUACCCUUAAUGUCUGCAAUGGUCCAACUAAUUGCAGUUUUGCACUCAAUCAAUACCUGCAAAAGCUAAUCUUUCUGCACAUCUAACAAACUCGAUGAGAUAAUAACAGGUAAAGUUAAGUUAGGUCCCAAGAAAGCAUACAUGAGAUGGGGUGGUAGUGGUUUUAGUUCCAACUUUGGUGGCUCUUCUCUCGAUGGCUUAGCUAGAGGAGUUUUCCUUUCUUCUAAGUGCAAAGGCUCAAAUUCGAGCUCUCUUUUCCAAAACCCUUGGCCUUCAAGAGCCAGUACCCACUCCACCAAGAUCUCUCCAUUUGCUUCAUCUAAGUUCAUGAGACAGGUUGCUAGAGGGUCUUUAGCGUCCAAGGUCUCAUCUUCCUCCUACAAAAUUACAUCCACACUCUCUAUUAGAGAGCAGUUAGCAAAUUCACUUGGUCACCGCAUAGAUUUCUGCAUAUUGAAUGUUAUCUCUUCAUCAUUUAGUCUCAUUUUUAGCUCUCCAGUUUCACAAUCAAUUAAAUCUCUCCCAGUGGCCAAGAAUGGUCUUCCCAAAAUUAUGGGAAUCUCCUCGUCAACCCGGCAGUCCAGAAUGACAAAAUCUGUUGGGAACACAAACUUCCCAACCUGUAUUAAUAUAUCAUCAAGGAUACCUGAUGGCCUCUUCAGUGUCCGGUCGGCUAGCUGUAGUAGCAUGGAUGUGGGUCUUGCUCUUCCAAUGCCUAAACUUUUAUAGAUAGACAAGGGCAUCAAGUUUAUGCUUGCCCCCAAAUAGCACAAUGCUUUAGCAAAAGCAUAGCUGCCUAUCGUGCAUGGGAUUGUGAAACUCCCUGGGUCUAACAACUUCUCAGCUAUGGGUCUCGUCACGACUGCGCUAUAGGUCUGGGUCAAUGUAACAAUGGACAGGUCUUGGAAGUUGAAUUUGCGAGACAUUGAAUCUUUCAUCAUUUUGGCAUACCCAUGCAUCUCCCACAAAGCGUCAAUCAGUGGAAUGUUCACUUGGAUUUGUUUCAAUAUCUCCAUAAAUUUCUUAUACUGCCCAUCCUUCUGAUAUUUGGCCAAUCUCUGUGGGAAUGGUUCUGCAGGUCGCAUCCGUCCUGUGAUUUGAGUUUUAUCUUGCUCAGGAACUGCUUCUACUGUUGUUUCUUGUGCUACCUCAGUCUCAUUCGCAACCUCUUUUUCUUUGCUUGUGCUCUCUUGUGCAUAUUGUACCGUCACCUCAGUUAACCCUGUUGAAUUAUCUAUCUCAAUUGGUACUGGCACAAGUGUUUCCGUAGGUCGGCUUUCGCGAGCAAUUUCUUGCUCCAGAUCUAGGUCUCUACCAUUUCUUAGACUCACUGCCAUAAGCAGUUUUGGGCCCUGCUCUUUUGGAUUGACUUGUGUAUUUGCAGGUAACAUCCCUUGGGGACGAUUAUUUAGAGCCAUCAAAGUCUGUCCUAAUUGAAUCUCAAUGCCCUUUUAUCGUUGAUUCAUGUGAGUCCACUCUCUCUUGCAUUUUUCCAUUAGACCCAAUCAGUUGUCGCAGCUUUCCUUUAAGUUUAACAAACCCAUCAUCUUGUCUCACUAUCUGUUGUUGUUGAGGCUGUGAUACGCUAGCUGCUGAUUUUGCUGGUUGUAACCCUGUUGCCGUUGGUAAGGCACAACUUGACCCUGUGGUCGCAUAGCUCCAAGAUUGUUGCUGUUAUUGUACUGUUGUUGUGCUGGCCUAUAUUGUUGAUUCUGCUGCCCCCAAUUCUGACCACCUUGCCUCUGUCCCCCAUAGUUGGCCACAUAGUUCAUAUCUUCCUGAUAGUGCUGGUUGUCACCUUCCGCACUCCACGAACAUACAUAUGGUUGGUUAAUGCAUGGUAUACAUAAGCCCCCGUUAGUUGUGUCAACUAUGUGUACCUGCUGCUUCUGGACUGAUUCAUCGAUCUUUUUUGGUGAUGAUACUCAUCUGCGUCAUUAGAGUGGCCAUAUUUUCAGCUAUGGAGUUGUUUGGGUCCAAAGCCACUGAAUGCACUAUAGGAGUGAUCUUAGAGUCUCUUGUCAUCCAUCCUGAGUUUUGGCCCAUUUUUUCAAGUAGGAUCUUGCAUUCUCUGAAUGUUUUGCUAAAAAAUGCUCCAUCUGUUGAAGCAUCAACAUUGGCCUUUAAGCCGUCUUCCAGUCCCAUGUAAACCCUCUGCCCCAACAUCUGAUCUGGAAUGCCAUUAUGUGAACAUUUAACCAGCAUACCCUUGAACCUCUCCCACAUUUCUUGUAGUGUUUCUGUUGGUCUCUGCCUGAAGCUCAAUAUAUCAUCAAUUUAUUUGGCAGUCUUAUUGGGUGGGUAGAACUUGUUCAAAAAUUGCUUGACUAAUUCCUCCCAAGUAGUGAUGGAGCUUAUGGGGAGUGAAUUAAGCCAAGUCUGAGCUUCUUCUGUCACCAAGAAUGGAAACAAUAACAGCUUUAUUGCUUCCGGUGUCACAUUAGGUUUCCUUUGUAUGAUACAUAUCGACAGGAAAUUCUUCAGAUGCUACUGAGGAUCUUCAAUGUAUGACCCUGAGAACAGUCCCUUGUUCUGCAACAAAUGUAGCAUGUUAUUUGUGAUUUGAAAUGACUCUGCUUGUAUAUGAGGGACUGCAAUUGCAGUUGCCAGAUAUUCAGCGGUGGGUUGUGCCUAGUCAUACAAUGCUUCUUCUGGCACAAGAGGCACCACACCCUGAUUGUUCAGGUCAUUCUCAGUGUUUCUGUUGUUUGGAUUUUCUACUCCGUCAUCCAUGUCUUGUUCGAUUUGUUCUGUUAAGUUUUGUUCUUGUUUGCCAUUCUUGUUUGCAUGAUUCAAUGCCUUGAAAACUUUCUCAGGAUCUGAUUAUGCUUCGAAUAAUUCACCAGUUCUUGAGGAGUUUCUAGGCAUGCACAUGUAGCACCCAAGACUACAAACGUUAGAAUUUCAAUGUAUUUGGUUUAAAAUGAAGAAAAUUGACUACACUAAGAAUUCUAGCAAUUCUUUUAGCUGCAAUUAAUAACACCGUUAGCUCCCCGACAACGGCGCCAAAAUUUGAUCACGCCCAACUAUGCCUUGUAAAAAGGACUUAGCGGUCGUUGCAAAUAUAUUCCGGUUAAUAAGUCCGGAGUCGAAUCCCACAGGGAAUUAACCUAUUAACCACAUCUACUAGACCCGCACCAAUUCACACAAUCAAUCUUCAGAAAUAUUUAAGUAACAAAUUUGAUGUUUACUAACUAAAUAUCACGUAAUGAAAAUGCAAUAAUUAAUAACUAACUAAGAACGGGUUGUAGACAAGAAUUGGGAUGAUCUAAGGUUAUGAUUUCCCCUACUGUCGGAAUCCUUUCCGAUACAUUUUCUAUGAAUUUUCCUAAGUUUUCUCUAACGAUCAUGAAUGCUCUGAGUGUUGUAAUUCUCUCCCUAGUAACAACCAUAAUUUACUAGAUAUAUUCUCCCGAAUUACGCUAGCUGGCCUUAAGUAUGGCUCACUCAGAUCGCACCAAGGUUUCGUUAUCCCUAAUCCCACCUUUAAACCAUUCGUAUUGAUCCCUCAUAUACAUUAGGAGUGAUGUUGUUCAAAAAUUACCUAAAUAUGCACUCUCUCCCUAGUAAUACAUACUAAAUAGGCACAGUCGAUUGAGGGCCCUUCAAUCAACAACAAUAAUAAUAUAGUUGAACAAAUAAAGAAAAUACAACGGCAAAUCUAUAUUAACGUAACAGGAAAAUCAUCCUCCAAUAGGUUUCAUCAAAACCCUAGAUUAGGAAUUUAGCUACUCAUACUCAUAGUAACAAUAUCCCAAAUGUUUUGCAUAAUUAAAUUACAAAGUGAAGAUGAAAGGAUGUAGAAAGCAAUGAUUCUAACUCCCAAUGACUGUGUCACGAGCUAUCCUUGCCUCUGGUUGUAAAAACUUCUUCAAAAGUGGUGUUUUAUGUCUAUUUAUAUGUGUAGGAAAAGAGCUAAGCGACAUAGGCCAAGUCCUAGUCAAACCAAGAGACGAAAUAAGCCUUCAAAGUUCGGAGUGUGCGCGCCUCAGACCUCGCCUCGCAAGGCUUCACGCGAGCAGGACCUCGCGCCAGACCUGGCGUCGCCAGCCUUAACGCGAGGUGGACCUCGCCUCCUGCCUCGCCUAGCAUGCUCCCACGCGAGUUAUUAAGCUUGCUUCGCCAACUUUCUCAUUUAUCCGCUGCUCACUUCUUUCUUUCUUCUUUUCAACUGUUUUCGAGCACGCUUUAGACUUUAAUUAUUCCUUUUGCUUUACUUUCAUCUCCAAUUUACCUACAUAUAAAAUAGACUUCAUUACGCGCAAAUAAAGUGUAGUUUAUCAUUAAAGCAUACAAAAUACAAGGCAAAUAAUGUACUAAAAUAUAGAAUUAUAGCCACACAUCAACGUGCAGCAAUAACUUCAAAUAGUGGGAGUCAACAAUGAAAAAGAUAACAUGACCAAUAACUUCAAGUAAUGGUAAUCAACAAUGAAAGAGGCAGCAUGAACAAUAACUUCAGUUAAUGAUAAUUAACAAUGAAGAGAUAUCAUAUAAUAAUNNNNNNNNNNNNUAGAACAAGUAUUAACGAAAUCAUUUAAGGCAUGUAAAGAUAGACUAACACAAGUAAGAAUAGAUUGACUAAGAGAAUUAGAACAUGAUACGACAUUUAACUAAAGCAUAAAAAUAGUCUAAGUAGCCUAAGCCGGUCAAAUACCACGUACAACCCGUGUACCCACUCGUCACCUUGCGUACACGGAUUUCAUUUAGUAAAAUUGAAUCAAACCAUACCAAUCCUAAGGAAUAGUUCCCCCACACGAAGUUAGGCAAGACACUUAUCUCAACUAGGCCAAUUCAACACUCGAAAAUAUCUUUUCCAUUAAAACCCGCCUCCACACGGCUCAAAUCUAACCAAAAUCAAUCUAAUAUCAUCAAAACAAUGCUAGGGAAUUUAAUUGCAAUAGAUAAAGCUAAAGUCUUUACACUUUUCCCAAAAAGUCAACAAAAGUCAACUCGGGACUUGCACGGUCAAACCUCGGGUCCAAUGGUAGAUUCCGUCUACCCAUGGCCCCACGAGUUAAUAUAUGUUAUUAGUUUCAAAAUCCGAGUCCAAAUCGACUCUCAAAUCUCAAUUUCUUAUUUUUCAAAAACUUCACAAAGUUUCACUAAUUUUCACUUUGAUUCACAUGAUUUUGAUGUUACAAUAUUAGAUAUGUUGAUUGAAUAUGAUUAGAAAUGGAUUAGAACCACUUACUCAAGGUUUGUAGGUGAAAAUCCCCUCUCCAAAUCGCCUCCUACCGAGUCUAUGGUUCAAAAAUGAGAGAAUGGGUUCAAAAAUCCCGUCUCUCAGCCCUUUAACCAGAUGCAGAUGUCGCAUUUGCGACACAGGAUUCAUAUUUGUGAACACUCGCAAUUGCGGACCAGGACUCGCAUUUGCGAACACUGACAACCUUAGUCAACAUCGCAAUUGCGAUGAUAGCUUCACAAUUGCGAACUGGUGGGCAUCGCAAAAGCGAACAAUUGUUCGCAAAUGCAAACCUAGGUGAAGUUUGACAGUCUUGACAAUUGCGACAUUAGAUCCCCCAUUGUCGCCUUCGCAAUUGCGAUGUUGGUGCUCUCAAUUGCGAUACCUGAGCACCAGCAACACUAACAGUCCAAUUUCAGUCCAAAACCAUUCUGAAACAUGUCCGGAACUCAUCCGAGCACUCGGGGCUCCAAACCAAACAUCCACACAAGUCUAAAAAUACCAUACAAACUCGCUUGCACGAUCAAAACACAAAAAUAAUAUCUAAAACUAUGAAUUGAACUAAAAAACGCAUGAAAUACAAGGAAAUUUUCACGAACUUCUAGAAUUAAAACUAAACGUCUGAAUCCUAUCAAAUUAACUCCAAAUGACACCAAAUUUUGCUGACAAGUUAUAAAUACCAUAACGGACCUAUUCCAAGUUCCAAAAUCAAAUUCUGAGCUAGAUAGCUAAAAGUCAACCUACAGUCAAACUUUUCAACUUCAAAUUUUCAAAUUUCAGCCAAUCAACACAAAUUAACCUAUGGACUUCCAAAAUCAAUUCUGAGCAUACACUCAGUUCCAGGGUCAUUUUCACAAAAGUCAAAGUUUGGUAAACAUUUUCUAAUUUGAACUUCUAAGUCAAGGAUCAAGGGUCCAAAUUAAUCCAAAAGCUUCCCGGAAUAAAACGAACCAACCCCGCAAGUCAUAAAAUCAUAAAAACACAUGCGUGAUGCAAUAAAUAGGGUAAUAGGGCACAAUUAAACAAAACGACCGAUCGGGUCAUUACAGGCGAACACCUCUACUUUGCCACCUCUCCAAGUUCAUUUAUUAAAUGGGGAAUGGACAUCAUGGGACUACUUCCGCAAGGACGAGGUAACAUAAAAUUCCUUUUAGUUUUAACUGACUAAUUCUCUAAGUGGGUAGAAGCAGGGGCAUUCUCCCAAGUUCGUGAGCAAGAGGUAAUCGCCUUCAUAUGAAAAAAUAUCAUAUGUAGAUUUGGCCUACCUAAAGAGAUAAGUUGUGACAACGGUCCCAGUUCACGGGGAGGAAAACCAUCAAGUUCUUCGAGAAGUGUCACAUUAAAAGGAUACUUUCAACUCCUUACCACCCGACAGGCAACGGACAGGCAGAAGCCUCCAACAAAUCUAUCUUAAGCAUCAUGAAGAAGAAGCUCGAAGAGGCCAAGGGACUAUGGCCUAAAAUACUCCCAGAAGUAUUAUGGGCGCAUAGAAAAACCCCGAAGACAAGCAUAGGGGAGACGCCUUAUUCUCUAGUCUACAGAACGGAAGCAGUUAUACCAGUCAAAUUCGGAGAACUCAGCCUGAGGUACUCCCAUGAAAGCGACACUGACAAUGAUGAGAAUACGAGACAAGACCUCGAUGAGGUCGAAGAGCGAUGAGACAUGGCAUAAAUAAGGAUGGUCACACAGAAACAACAAGCAGAAUGCUACUACAACAAAAAGGCAAAGGUUCGAUUGCUCAAGAUCGAGGACUACGUGCUCAAAGCCAAGAUCCAAGAAAACAGGGAGCCACGAGAAGGCAAGUUGGAAACCAACUGGGACGGACCACACAAAAUCAUAGGCAAAGUAGACAAGCGUUCGUUCCAAUUGGAAACUAUGGAAGGGAAGCUCUAUCAAACAAUUGGAAUAUCAACCAUCUCAAGUACUUUAACAUUUGAAAAACAAAAAUGCCCUAUAAGUCGUACUCUUUUUUCCCUCACUUGAGUUUUUUACCAAUAGGGCUUUUUUAAGGAGGUUUUUAAUGAGGCGACGAGAAGGACACUUCGAGUUGGCAUACACGAGAGCAGAUAUAUUUUUCAUUGCCCGACUCCUCAAGAGUUUCCAAGUCGAAUAAUGAAGGGACUAGAUAUACUGAGACUGGGACUGGAAUGCCAGCCAACUCCCAAAACUUAUAAUUUUCUCCAAAAGUUGCCUAAGGGUGAAAUGAUGUAAUUGAAACAACUAUGUUGAAAUAAUAAAAAUGCAUGCCUGAUCUAAACUGCUCUCCAAAACGGUACGUUCGAUCAACUUGAACAACACUUAUCAGCCCACGGCCACAACCUAGUAAAAGGUAAGUUCGACUAGUUCGAACAACUCCUAUUGGCCCACGGCCACGACUUAAUCAAAUGUACGUUCGACGAGUUCGAACAACACCUAUUGGGCUUGGCCAUAACUUAAUCAAAGGUACAUUCGACCACUUCGAACAACACCGAUCGGCCCUCGGCCAGGACUUAAUCAAAGGUACGCUUGACCAGUUCGAACAACACCUAUCGGCCCUUGGUCAUGACUCAAUCAAAGGUACAUUCGACCAAUUCGAACAAUACCUAUCGGCCCUCGGCCACAAUUCGAUGAAAGAAAAAUUUCUACCUAACUCAACGAUAUGUUCAUCCCAUUCGAACAACACAUAUCGGACCUCGGCCUAAACUCGAGUAGAAGGUAAUAAUGAAGAAAAUACAGGAACAUAACACAAGUACAAAAACAAUGCACAAAGACAAAAAGGUAUAAAACUAAAACAAAUUAUUGUAUUUCAUAAGAAGAUUUUACAAAGUCGUUCAAAGACGCCAACAAAAGAUACAAUACAAAAGUUGAGCAAAAAAUGUUAACACUCAAGGUAGUCACCACCCCGAUCUCCACCAUCCUCUCCUUAUCCGCCUCGACCAUAAGUGGAGUCCUACUAAGCAUUAUCUGCAAGAUGGUCCAUACCCCCUUCAUCAUCUUCCUCGAAAUCGGGUUGAGGCGUGGCAGGAUCAUAAUCAUAGUCAAGUCGGGCCUCGCGAGCUUUAACUCGAGCCUCCUCGAGGGCUGUCUCAGAGAUAGAGCCGGUCUUGUUCAAUUCACGGAUCACGUCCAAUCGGGCUUCAGCGUGGAUCCAGUUCUCGUACCUAUCUCGGGAAAUGUCAGGAAACUUAGAGGCGUGAGACACAGAGGGCCACUCGAGCAAUCGGGCAUUUUUGGCCUCAAGAACUGCAACUCGCUCUAGAAGCUUGGAGUUCUCCUUACCAACUCUCCAAUCCUCUCCUCGAGCCUGGUUUCCUUAGCCAUGGCCGCCCAAAGAAUGUUAUUUUGUCCAGAAUAGAGAGUUCUAUUCGCCAAUUCCAAAAUAUCAGCCCCCCUACGAGCCUCCGUUCGGGAGGACUCCACCUCCUCAAGCAUUCACUUCUUCUCAGCAACUUCCCUCCUAAGAGAGUUGAUCUGGAGUUGGUAUCCAUCCAACUGACUUUACAGUUGAACUACUUGACUUUGGAGGUCACUACACUGGGCCUCCACUCCUUUGCUCAUUUUAAGAUCCUCUUCCUUCCUCCUCAACGCCCCCUCGAGAAUGUUGAACCUCUCUACGGCCACCAUCAACUCCUCAUCUUUCUUCUUCAACUCCUCCCUCAAGGCCGGUAUGCCGCCCUCCCCGCAAAGCCAUCUUUGAGCGUCCUGGUACUUCCUGCAGAACUCCUGGUAUUUACCCUUCAGCUCUGUUAAAUCUCUUUCCAUUUCAUCUCCCUCCAUAUGCUUUCAAUUUCUAGAAUGAUAGUAUGCAAAUCAAAGGGGAAAAAAAUUCAAAGCUUAGAAGAGAGUCAAAAUAAAAGAAAAAGAACAAGGGACGACUACACUUACCCUGAGACGAGGCCGACAAUGCUCUUCGAUAGGGUGUCAUCGUCAGUUCUUUGAGGGUCACUUGUUCGGCUUCGGAGCAAAGAGGACCAAGAGCGUUGACCACGUCCUUGGUAAUUUUCAGCAGAUCACGAUCCAUGAGAAUCGUGAUAGUUCUUUAAUCCCCCUCCAUCCUUACCUUGAUCUGAGUAUUCCCCUCGUCGAUCAUCUUAAUCCUCGGGGUCCAUGUCAAAAUCCGAUUCAUCGCUCUCUUCGACGGCACCCUUGCCUUUGUCCCCAUCAGCAGGGGAAGCAUCCCUUGCCUACCUAGAAGAAGAGGCUUCCUCUUGCCCUAAAGGCGCAGAGCUAUCACCGAAUGCCCCCUUCGCAACCUUCUCAUCCUCGGGCACGAAAGCAUACUCACAUUGGUCUCUUCUAACUGAGGUCUCCCAUACCUUGUACUCAUCCUCUAAUGAGUCGACGGCCGAGGGAAAACCACCUCCUACGUCCAUAGCCUUCCUUUUGCGGGGCCUCGGGUCCGUGUCAUGUGGAGAGACCUCAUCAUCCUCGACAGGGAGGAGCGAGCGCAGCAACCGAGACGGGGGAAGAAGCAGAAGGCGUAGCAACCCUUCUCCUCCUGAAUGAGGGCACAUACACCCUAUUCCUUCUUGCAGCCCCCCUGACGGAACCCAGAAGAAGCAAAAAAAUGGUAUAUGCAAAAACGAGCACUAUGCCGACUAGAAGAAGGAAAUUACCUGUCGAGGAGAGGGCCAUUUUGAACCUUUGAAAGAAGCUCGGCCAAUCACGAAUCCCCACAGUAUAGGGGAUAACUUGUUUGAUCCAAUCGGCGAGGUACGUCACCAACUGAAGAGGUCGACCAGUGGCUGCAGAAAAAAAAAGAGGGUUAUUUGACAAGCUCGGAAUGAACAAGAAUUUGAAAAGGUAAAAAUAAAAGCACGAGUACUUAUGGGUGUGGUUCCAGGCCUCAGGAAAUCUUGUAGCAUCGGCCAUGACGGCCUCAGUCUUGAUAAAGAAAUAGUCGAGCCAGAAUUGCCGACUACCUUUAUCAUUCAUCUUCACUACCAAAUAUUUGCCCCUACGAUGUCGAAGGUUAAACAUUGUUCCUUGGUAAAAGUUGGGCGCGAACAUAUGCACCAAGUGUCACACCGUGACCUCGACCCUGGCCAGUUCGGCAAACUUCGAUAGCAUUUUAAUCACUUUGUACACGUAGGAGGCGAGCUGAGCAGGGUAAACAUUAUAAUGGCGGUAAACUCCUCCACCAGCGGGUGGAGGGGGAACGAAUAGCCAAUGGCGAAUGAGUAGGCAUAAAGAGCACAGUACCUAGGACUGUAGACGUGUACUUCGUCGUUAUUAGCAGGAUUUUUUCUCAUAUCUUUAUCUAUCUUUUCUCCCCCGAUCUAAGGAGGAUCCGAAUAUUCAAAGGCUUAUAAUUAUCUAUCCUUUUCAGAAGGAUUAUACAAUAUUCUCACCUUUUUUGGGUGACCUCCGUCCAUUUAUUUACUUAAAUGUCAUUUAUUAUUAUUAACUGUUCCCUUCCAUAUUCUUGAAUCAUUUACUAUAUCAUUAUUGUCGUCAUUUAUUGCCACUCAAUAGCAUACGUGGGAUCUUACUACAAAAAUAUUUGGUCUAUCUUUUGGACAUUAAUGUUGGCUAAGAUUAACCCUACUUUAUUAUAAAAUUUGAUUGUAUCAACCUAUAUCUAAAUUUUGGGUCAUACAGUUUGAAAUUUAGUAUUACAAUAAGAUAUAAGGACAUAAUUGUCAGUUUGACUUGCAAGAAAAACAUUUAUCUUUAUUUCUCUUUGGUUUUUCAUACGUUAAUCGGUAUCUGUAUUGGGGUUCGAUGAAAUUCGGACUCGCACCGAAAAGUCUUGUAUUUGGGGUAAAGUACUCCCUAACAAAGAUGACUGCAUACCCAAAGCUCGCACCCAAAACUUCCUAUUAAGGAUGAAGGAGUAAUUACAAAUCCAUUACUAAACAUUCAUCAAUCGGACUCUGGGAAGGUCCCAUUAAGAUUGUUGUUUUGUACCUCUGAAUGGAAAUGUUCAGUUCAGACACUUACUUACCUCAAGCACAAAUUAGUAUUCUCCACUAAUUGAGAAAUUAAUUGUCUGCUGCUUCUCCUCAAGUACCUCAACUUACUUACCUCAAGUACAAAUUACUACAACUCCACUUUAGAAGAAUGUAAGGACAAUUUGUCUGUUGCUUCUGUUCAUGGGAUCAACACUUGAAAGAUUGUCUUGGUUGGACUUUUCCGGGGGGGGGGGGGGGGGACCAAAUAAAAGUUUCAACAACCACGUACAGGUGAUGAUUCGUUGCUACACUUGAUCUCUUCGAUUAGAAAAUUGAAGAUUAAUGCCGGUAUUAACAUAAACAAUUAUAUGACAUAAUCUUUUGUACUUCAAGAAAAGAUAGUUUCAUGCUAUGUUUCGAAUCAUGGCAUUGAAGUUGAUCAAUUGCCAUAGAAGUGCUUAUCAUUUGGUUGACUUUUCUUAAGGGGAGAAUGAAUCAUAAUUUCAACAACCAUACUUGGUUUGUCUAAUGGUACGGUAUUAUUAGUACCGUACCGGUACCGGACCGUAUUGUUCCGGUGAUUCGUAUUUAUUUUUGUUAUACUUAUAUUGCUACUUGUUGUAAAUUUAAUCAUUAAAAAUGGCUCCUAAAAUGGUUUUUAAAAAAGUGUGUAAUAGAUCUACUAAGAAUAAUGCUAGGGAGGGGGUCCUCGUUUUGAAACAAAUCUUAACUAGUUCAAUUUUAGGAGUAACAUAUAUGAAACGUAUAAUUCUGCUUUUUCAGGUUUUCCUAAAACAACUGUUAAAAAUAAUAUUUGCUACGAAGAUUUGCUGAAAUAUUUGAAGAGAAGAAACUUUGGCCUUCUAGAAAUAAUUUAAGAAGACAACGAUGCCUGUAGUGAAAUACUAUCUACCGGUGACAUGAGGGACACAGAAGAACAAGUGCUAUCAAUUUCAAGCGAAGAACCAAUAGAAAUUAUUGAAAAUCUCCGUAAAUUGAAAGAAAAAUAUUUUAUUUUAUUUUUAUAAGUAUUGAAAUAAAAGUAUUGAAUUUUUUAUCCAUUAAAGCUUGUUUAUAUUUAAAUUAAAAAAAUUUAAAAUUAUCGUUAAGUACCCAUAAAGUACCGGUACCGCACCCUUAGGACCGGUAGGGGUACUGAUAGGGUAUCCAAUUAAAUAGCCAUAACAUGCACCCUUAAAUACCGUUAAGAAAAAUACCCUUAAGGAACCCUCCCCUUACACUUACCCUCCCCGUACUCUUAACUCUUAAUGUCUCAGUACUCUCCCCUUAAACAACCAUAAAUCAUACACCAUUGAAAGGCAUCUAUGACCAUUCACACCUUUGAAAUUUAAUUAAAGUUUUUUAAAAAUCUCUCUUGUGGAAGAAUGUAUUGUUUUUUAAAUAAGAAAUUAGCCCGCAAUGUUUAGUGUCUUUUUCUUUUUGGAUCAUAUAUUGAAUCUGACGAAUUUAAAGUGCGGCAAAGGGCCAAAUAUAUCCUUGUACUAUGAGAAAAGGUUUUAAAUAUACCUUUCGUUAUAUUUUGGGUCCAAAUAUACCCCUGCCGUAAUACUAUUGGUUCAAAUAUACCCCUCUUAUAUUAAGUUUGUUCAAGGUGGAUGUCUAAUCCUACGUGGCACUGACAUUUGAUGGGGUGGAUGCCACAUGGCAUGCCACCUCAACGCCCCUAAUCCAUAUAUCACUAAAAUUUGAAAUACAAUAUUGUUUAUGGUAGCGGUAAUGGUGGCAAUAGUGAUUGGGGGAAGAAAAUUUUAGUGGUGAAAAAAAAAUAAGAAAGGUAAAAUGGGUUAGGGGCGCUGAGGUGGCAAGCCAUGUGACACUCGCCUCAUCAAAUGUCAGUGUCACAUAGGACUGGAUGUUCACUUUGGACAAACUUAACGGAAAAAGUGUAUAUUUGAACCAAUAAUAUAACGAUAUGGUUAUAUUUGAACUCAAAGUAUAACAAAAAGGGUAUAUUUAGACUCAAAAUAUAACGAGGGAUACCUUUAAACCUUUUCUGAUAGUAUAAGGGUAUAUUUGGCUCUUCUCCGUUUAAAGUAUCUUUUAAGUUGUCCCUUAAACAAUCUUUGUUCCGACAUUAUCCGUUGAUUGUUGUGAUCGCCUUUUCCUCAACUAAUGUUUGGUUUUAAAAACUUCUGAAAUUAUGUUGAUUUCUUAACCAAUAUGUAUUUAGAUAGAAAUGAGGUAAGAUAAGGGCAUUUCAAUAUAGCUUUGGAAAAUCUACAAUUAAUGGAGAUAAACUAAUUUUAUCCAAAGACCAACCCUGAAACUCAUUCUUCCAUAUCUAAGCACAUAUCAAACACACAAAUAUCAUGCGAUUAAAAAGAGAAUAAAUAAAAAUUGCCAAACACCUUGAUCUUACCAAAAUAAAAUUUCACGGAGGAAUACUAAAUUUUUCUAAACUAUGCUAGCUAACACUAUCUUAUCAGGUACAUUGACUAUAUUAAAGAUUUAUUAUUUUUAAACCCACAUUUAAAUCUACCGUAUUAAUUCCUCACUACGUCAGAAGCAGUGGCGGACCCAAGUGGUUGCUAGCGGGUUCAACUGAACCCGCUUCACAAAAAAAUAAUAUUGUGUAUAUGUAUAAAUUAGGAUUAAAGUUGUAUAAAUUUUACAUAAAUAUUUUAUUUGAACCCACUUGACAACUACUAUUUUACUACUAAAUUUAUAUACUUUUAAGAUUGAACCCGCUUGCACAAAAUAUUGGGUCCGCCACUGGUCAGAAGGAACAUUGAUCAACAACCACCUAAAUAAGUACCCUUUCCCAAGCAAUACAUAAUAAAUAGGCACAAUCAAUUGUGAACUCUUCAAUUAAUUAAAACAAGCACAUAGUUAAACAAGCAAAGAAAUCCAAAGGAUAAAUUAUAUUAAAACGUAACAAUAAUUCAUCCUGCAAAAGGUUUCAUCAAAAUCCUAGAUAAGAAAUUAGCUACUCAUAAUAAUAUGUAAAACUACAAUACCAAAAUCUAUAACCACCAAUAAAGAAUAGGAAAAAGAAAGUGAAAAACUCUGUAAAAAAUUAUCCGUCUUGUUCCUUGUGUGAUCUUGCCUUCAUAAGUAUUGUCUCCCCCUAAAGUAGUAUCUCCCCCUAAAGUAGUGUCUCCCUCAAAAAGACAUUUUAGAAUGUAUUUCUAUCAAUUAGGGUUUGUAUAUGGCAGAUCGAAUCAAAUCAUUCCGACCAUAGACGCGAACUCGCUUUUAAAUUUUUUUCAUUUCGCAAAGCAAUUCGUGCAUUUGCUUCACUUUACUAUUUUGUGCACUCAAUUGUCUCCUUUUUCGCAUCCGUUUUCAUGCUAUGCGCGAGAAUGGACGAGCUCCCAAUUCUUCCAUCUUUUCCUUUUGCAGUAAAUUCACAUCUUUUGAUAACUUAUCAUUAAAACUUAUUCUUACAUACAAGAAACAUAUAAUAAGCAUAUAUUAUUUCAAAAAUCAUGUAAUCUCAUACGACACAUGCGACAAAUAAAAUAAAAACACACUAAAAAAUAUGCACUUCUAAUUAUUUAUCAUCCAACUAUAUGUAGCAAAAAAUGAGUGAUAGCAACAAUUCCUAGCCAGUGCGUGAAAGUAUUAAUGUGAAGGCGUCAGAAUUUGAGAAGGUAGAAUACUUAAAAGGGAAAAAGGUCAAAUAUAUCCCUAUACUUUGAUAUAUUGUUCACAUCUAUCCUCUGUUAUACUAUUAAGCCACAUAUACCCUUACCGUUAGCCAAACUUUUUAAAAAUAUCCUCCACCUAACGGAAACUAUCAAAUUAAAAAAAGUCAUUUAAAAAAAAAAUACAUUAAUCCACAACCCGUUAAACCCAUCAUAUAAAAAUACGGAACCUAGUUUUCUGAGACGUCUCAACACAUUAUUCAUUUUGAGAGAGUGUGAGAAUGAUGGUGGCGGUAAGAUUAGUAAAAACUUAUAUUUUGGUUCUUAGUUGUUCAUGGUGGCAUUAGCAUGUCAUGUUAUCACUUUCGGUUGUAUUUUUGUGUGGUUAUAAUAUGAAAUCCCUUUGUCUAAUGUAAUGCACACUUGAUAGUUGAUUUGUAUGUUGGUAACAACUGAUAUAUACUUUAACAACACUUGUGUUUGGUUAAUACAUGAAGUUAGUGUGCUUAUGUUGUUAAGGUUCUUUUCCAACUUGGUGGUGUACUUUCUUUUAUUCUUGAUGAAUUCCUUAGACUGUAGCUUGAUCUUAAAUUGAAUCUCCUCUAAUUAUUUUAAAAAUUUUGCUCAUUAUAAGUUCAGUUGUUAUUAAGAAUUAUGUGUAUCACACCCCAUAGCUUGGACUCUAACUUUGGUUCUAAAGGUGUGAUUUGGCGAUUGUUAGGAUCGAGAACCCGGGUAGUGCAAAAUUUAGCCAAACAAUGGUAUAAUGACAAUAACAAAGACAAUGCAAGUUGAUAAUAAUGGCAAUUAAAAAGAUAAAGAAGACACAAAUUUAACGUGGUUCGGUCAAGGUGACCUACGUCCACAAGCGGAGAGGAGCAAUUUUACUAUACCAACAAGAGUACAAAAGAGAAUACAAAAUUAGAGUAAAUACUCUAAUUCCCAAAUACCCCAAGAGAAUAACCUCACAAGAUCACUCUAAAGAAAGGGUUCACACAAGUAUUUCCCAACACUCAUUCUCUUACAAAAUACUCUAUAAUAAAGGAGGAGAAAGAAAGAUAAGAGUGAAAAGCUCUUGAAAUUGGUGUGUUCUCAAAUGAGGAGAAACUCCUCUAUUUAUAGCAAGAAAUCCUUGGCCUAAUAGUGGAUAUUAUGUCAUGGCAAAUGUCAUGAAAACUUGGUCCAAAAUUGUGUUAUAAUGGAUAUUAUGUCAUGGCAAAUAUCAUAAAAACUUGGUCCACAAAUUAUGUUAUAGUGAAUAUUAUGUCGUGGCAAAUAUCAUAAAAAUUUGACCCCCACUUGAAAAUAAGCCAAAUUAAUGGCCAUAUUACAAAUCUCCAUCUUGGCCUGAUUUUGGCUUAUAUAUAGUAAAUUUGCUCUACCUUCUCCGCUAAAACCCCAAUGGGCAAAAUUAUUCUUCAUAAAUGCCAAUCAGUUUCAGGCAAAGCUUGAACUUAGACACUGGAAGAGGUUUUGUGAACAUGUCAGCAGGAUUGUCUCUAGUGUUGAUCUUCUGAACAGAGACUUUUCCUUCAGAAAUGAUUUCUCAGAUGAAAUGAUACUUUAUAUCAAUGUGCUUCGUACUCUCAUAAUACAUUUGAUCUUUAGUCAAGUGAAUGGUACUUUGACUAUCAUAGAAAAUGGCAAUACCACCUUGGUGUAAACUGAGUUCUGCAAAUAGACCCUUCAACCAUAAAGCUUAUUUGAUCGCCUCGGUCACUGCCAUAUAUUCUGCUUCGGUAGUAGAUAAAGCUAUAACAUAUUGUAAUGUAACUUUCCAACUAACAGUGCAACCACCGAUGCAAAAUACAUAGCCUGUCAGUGAUCUUCUUUUGUCAAGAUCACCUGCAUAAUCUGAGUCUACAAAACCAACCAAAGUGUUAGUAUUUCUCCCAAACUCCAAACAUGUGUUUAAAGUACCUCGCAAGUAUCUGAGAAUCCAUUUCACAGCAUGCCAAUGUGAUUUACCAGGGCAAGCCAUAUACCGGCUUACCACGCUCACUGCUUGUGAAAUGUCUGGACGUGUACAAACCAUUGCAUACAUAAUACUGCCGACUGCACUGGAAUAAGGAACUUGUGCCAUGUACCUCUCUUCUUCCUCUGACUGCGGGAACUGAGCAGCUGAUAACUUAAAAUGAGCAGCAAGAGGGGUACUAACUGGUUUAGCAUCUUUCAUGCCAAACAUCUCCAAAACUUUCUCCAAGUACUUCUUUUGGGUCAGAAAUAGCCUGUUGGCUUUUCGAUCUCUUUUGAUCUCCAUGCCAAGGAUUUUCUUAGCUGCUCCCAAAUCUUUCAUCUCAAAUUCACUUUUCAGCUAACUUUUCAAAUUGUGAAUUUCUGUUAAAUCCUUAGGAGCAAUGAGCAUGUCAUCAACAUAUAAUAAUAGGUACACAAAUGAACCAUCAUUUAACUUUCGGAAGUAAACACAACUAUCAUACAUGCUCCUCGAAUAACUAUGACCCAACAUAAAGGAAUCAAACCUUUUAUAUCAUUGUCUUGGAGACUGCUUUAAUUCGUACAAGGAUUUCUUCAACAAGCAAACAUGAUAUUUUUUUCCUUCAAUUUCAAAUCCUUUGGGUUGAUUCAUGUAUAUUUGUUUCUCAAGUUCGCCAUGUAAGAAAGUUGUCUUAACAUCAAAUUGUUCUAAUUCCAAAUCAUACAUGGCAACGAAGGCAAGAAAGAUACGAAUAGAGCAAUGUUUAAUAACAGGUGAGAAAAUAUCAUUAAAAUCAACUCCUUGUACCUGACUAUAGCCCUUUGCAACUAAUCGUGCCUUAUACCUCGCAUCUUCAACCCCUGGAAUGCCAUCCUUUUUCUUGAAGACCCAUUUGCAACCAACAAUUCUUUUUUCUGAUGGUGGUUUCACAAGAGACCAAGUACCAUUCUUGUGGAGAGACUCAAUUUUUUCAUUCAUUGUAAUCAGCCACUUGGCUGAGUCAACACCAGAAACUGCUUCUGAAUAUUUUGAUGGUUCUCUAAUUUCUUCAGUUUCCUCUGCAACUAAAAAAGCAAAUGCAACAUAUUCUCCAAACCUUAAUGGUUGUUUACCUUCUCUUCUUGGUCUAUGUUUGGCUAUAGAAUACUCCUCUUCAGGAAUUUCAGCUUCUGGCUCAACUUCAGGAGUUUCAACUAUAUUUUGCUCCAAAGUUGAUGAGCUUGGCUCAGAAAGAAUGCCAAUCCCAACAUCCACCUGCUUCUGUGUACUAUUUCCUUUAUCUGUAUUACAAGAACUAGAAGACUCUUUUCUAGAAUGUAACAUAGAGGAUUCAUCAAAGGUUAUAUCUCUGAUAAUUAUAAAUUUUGGUGUCGUGGGAUCAGGAUACCAUUGUCGGUAUCCUUUCACCCCAGAUGCAUACCCAAAGAAAAUGUACUUUUUAGCCCUUGGCUCUAAUUUUCCAUAAUUUACAUGCAUAUAUGCAGGGCAACUAAAUAUCUUUAAAUCAGAAUAAUUAGCAGGAGUGCAUAACCACAUUUACUCUGUAGUCUUAAAGUUCAAAGGUGAAGAAGGAGCUCGGUUGACAAUAUAACAGGUUGUAGAGAUAGCUUCUUCCCAAAAGGUGUUUGUCAACCCAGCAUUUGAAAUAAUNNNNNNNNNNNNNNNNNNNNNNNNNNNNNNNNNNNNNNNNNNNNNNNNNNNNNNNNNNNNNNNNNNNNNNNNNNNNNNNNNNNNNNNNNNNNNNNNNNNNNNNNNNNNNNNNNNNNNNNNNNNNNNNNNNNNNNNNNNNNNNNNNNNNNNNNNNNNNNNNNNNNNNNNNNNNNNNNNNNNNNNNNNNNNNNNNNNNNNNNNNNNNNNNNNNNNNNNNNNNNNNNNNNNNNNNNNNNNNNNNNNNNNNNNNNNNNNNNNNNNNNNNNNNNNNNNNNNNNNNNNNNNNNNNNNNNNNNNNNNNNNNNNNNNNNNNNNNNNNNNNNNNNNNNNNNNNNNNNNNNNNNNNNNNNNNNNNNNNNNNNNNNNNNNNNNNNNNUCAAUCAAAACUUUUCAUUAUUUGAAAUUUAAGAAAACAUCACUUUUAUUUUUUAGGAAAUAAACCCAAACUUUUCUUGAAUAAUCAUCAAUGAAAGUUAACAUAUACCUGGCACCACCUUUUGAUGGGGUAUGUGAAGGACCCCAAAGAUCUGAAUGAAUAUAAUCCAAAGUACCUUUUGUUCUAUGAAUCGCUGGAGAUUUAAAGCUGACUCUUUUCUGCUUUCCGAACACAUAAUAUUCACAGAACUCCAUAUUUCUGGUACUUUGGCCACAUAAGAGACAUCUUUUGCUGAGGAUGGAAAGACCUUUUUCACUCAUAUGCCCCAAUCGCAUAUGCCACAAUUUGGUGAUGUCAGGAUCUGAUUUAUCUGAUAUUGAAACUGUAGUAGCACCUGUAACAGUAGAUCCCAAAAGAGUAUACAACAUACCAGAUCUGCGUGCUUUCAUGAUCACAAGAGCGCCAUGAGAAAUUUUCAGAACUCCACAUUCACCUGUGUACUUGCACCUAAGAGAUUCUAGAGUGCCCAAAGAGAUGAAAUUUUUCUUCAAGUCAGGAACAUGUCUAAUAUCGGUGAGAGUUCUCACCACACCAUCGUGCAUUUUGAUUCGGACUAUACCUUUUCCAAUAACUUUGCAGGCAGCAUUGUUGCCCAUCAAGACAACUCUACCUCCAAUAGAUUCAUAUGUGGUAAAUAAAUCCCUAUUGGGACACGUAUGAUAAGAAUAAGCCGAAUCUAAAAUCCACUCAUUGUUAGAUUUGAAACUAUUAUUAGUUGCUAAAAAAAUAGUUUUCUCAGUCUCAUCAGCAGCUACACUUGCUUCGGCAGUGUCAAUAUUUUUGUGCUCAUUUUUCUUUUAUGUAUGUUUUUCUUUGUUUUUCAAUUUAAAGCAUUCAGAAAUAAUGUGACCUUUCUUAUGACAAUAUUUGCACAUGACAUUUCUGUAUCUGAAUUUUGACCUUGAUUUAGGUUUUUCACUACUUGAAUCUUUCUUAUUGGAUCUACCUCUUAUGAAUAAGCCUUCCCCUUGGUUCCCACUAGUUUUCCUCAGUAAUAUCUCUAUUUAUUUAUUCUUUUGAUUUCAAAAUAGAUUUGAUAUCUUUAUAAGAGAUAUUAUCCUUUCCAUAAAGCAUAGUAUCUCUUAUGAAUAAGCCUUCCCAUUGGUUCCCACUAGUUUUUCCUAGUAAUAUCUCUAUUUAUUUGUUCUUUUGAUUUCAAAAUAGAUUUGAUAUCUUUAUUAGAGAUAUUAUCCUUUCCAUAAAGUAUAGUAUCUCUUAUAUAUUUAAACGACUAGGUAAGGAAACAAGUAAUAACACAACUUGAUCCUUCUACUGUUCUUUUCAUAUAUAAGGUUUUAAGCUUUCCCCAUAUGCCUUUGGCUGAACUUUCUACUGCAACUUCACGAAAAACCUCAUUUUAAAGAUUUAAAAUAAUAUUUGCUUUUACCUUUUUGUCUAUGACGGCAAACUCCUCAUCCGUCAUUUUAUCUGGCAUCUUCUCCUUUCCUUGCAGUGCCAAAUCUAAGUCAUCCUGAACUAGGAUAGCUUCCAUCUUUAAUUGCCACAUUCUGAAGUUUGCACUUCGGUCAAAUUUCUCAACAUAAGACUUUGUUAGAGUUAUUUUGGCUAUUUAAACUAACCCGGUUAGGAUCGAGAACCCGGAUAGUGCAGAAUUUAGCCAAACAACGUAUAAUGACAAUAACAAAGAUAAUGCAAGUUGAUAAUAACGACAAUUAAAGAAGAUAAAGAAGACACAAAUUUAACAUGGUUCGGUCAAGGUGGCCUACGUCCACAAGCAGAGAAGAGCAAUUUUACUAUACCAACAAGAGUAUAAAAUUAGAGUAAAUACUCUAAUUCCCAAAUACCUCAAGAGAAUAACCUCACAAGAUCACUCUAAAGAAAGGGUUCACACAAGUAUUUUACAUCGCUCACUCUCUUACAAAAUACUCUAUAAUAAAGGAGGAGAAAGAAAGACAAGAGUGAAAAGCUCUUGAAUUGGUGUGUUCUCAAAUGAGGAGAAGCUCCUCUAUUUAUAGCAAGAAAUCCUUGGCCUAAUAGUGGAUAUUAUGUCAUAAAAAAUGUCAGAAAACUUGGUCCACAAAUUGUGUUAUAAUGGAUAUUAUGUCAUGGCAAAUGUCAUAAAAACUUGGUCCACAAAUUGUGUUAUAGUGAAUAUUAUGUCAUGGCAAAUGUCAUAAAAAUUUGGCCCCCACUUGAAAAUAAGCCAAAUUAAUGGCCAUAUUACAACGAUAAUACUCGUAGCUCAAAUGCUUAAAGUAGCAUAAGAAAAUCAUAGUGCUUAAAUACUCAUCAACAAAGGCUCAUAAUUGAAGGAAGAAAUACAUCGGUAGCUGCCUUAAGACUUCAGAACUGUCGACCUAAUAAGAUACUAUAAACACUCAGGUCAUGAUGGAAAGAAAAUCAUGGUGAAUACUCGGUACAGUUCGACAUGACGAAUAAAACAAAAGAGAAAAGCUAGAAGAAGAAUUUUGUUUUUGGAAAAGGUAGAAUAUAAUAAACAUACAAUAAGGAUAUUAAAAGAAUUGUGACUAAAUAUAUAAAUGAAUAUAUGGUUGUUGGUAUUUUUAUAUUUUUCACUUCUUCAGUUCAACAAGUGACUACGAGGGAGAUGACUAAUCUUUGAGAAAAAGUGCAGCAAAUAAAAGGGGUUUAACGGGUUAUUAAUGGGUUUAAAAAAAUAAGUCUUUUUUGGUGGCUUUUUUUUAGGUGAAGGGUAUUUUUAAAAAAAUUGGCUAACGGUAAGGGUAGAUAUAGCCCAAUAGUAUAACGAAUGGUAAAUAUGAAUAAUAUACCAAAAUAAAGGGAUAUAUUUGACCAUUUUCCCUACUUAAAAUGUUAUCCAGAACAACCUUGAAUUGUUUAAGAAUCCUACAUGCAGAGACAGGCCCGCGGGUAAGGUAGGGGUCAACUACUGCUAUUAGUGUCAUUUUGGCAUUUUUCAAUUAUUUUGAUAAGUACUUAGUACAACAUUUGAAAUAGAUUUCAAUCAUUAAGGGGUCAUUUAAUAGAAUUUAUCGGGGAAAAUAAUAUAUAUAUAUAUAUAUAUAUAUAUAUAUAUAUAUAUUAGCUUUAUAUUAUUUGUAUACCGCCAAAAUUGGGAUCGCCCCCUUGCUUGACUAAUCGAGACUGGAAUAUGAUAGAUUUAGGUCCGACCUCGAGUCAUAUCAAACUGAGAUGUGAAGUUAUAUCGCCAAGCUCGAGAUCCCGGGACCGAACAAAGUCAAGAUCAGGCGAGAUCGAGGGAAACUUUCUGAUUCGGAUAACAGAAAGACGAAAUAUCCGCGAUCGAGCGUAGAUCACGGCGGAAAUCUCGACAUGUAUCAAGGAUAGGCCGAUUAAUUAGCCAAUCAGGAGAUUUCUUACUUCAUUUAGAACUGUAUCAAGAGUAAGACUCCCCUACUAUAUAAAUGGGGUAUGAUAAUUUGUAAAGGGGGCACUUUUACAAAACAUAAAGCAAUACAUUAUCUUUUACUAGCUUUUAUUAUCUUGUUACUCUGUUCUUAUAUCAAGUUGAAACUUCUCUUGGUUCAAAUGUGAUCUAACUCGAGGGCCAAGGCUAUUCGAUUCGUUUGGUUUGCAUUUAUUUCUUGUAUCGUCAAAUUCAAUAUUAAUAUAUUUUCUUAAUUUGUGCCAAGUUAUAUCACGUAUCCUUAAAACCGCGUAUAAAUUUAAUUGUUAUCUAUUUUUAGGGUAAACAGUUUGGCGCCCACAGUGGGGCUAAGGAUAAUAGUGAUUCUCUGGUACUAACUUUCGUAACACACACUUUUUUUCACUUGUUCUUGUGAGUAUUUUUUAUUCCAGGAUCAAAAUGUCGAACUCUCAGGCAACACCCGUACACGUGAACAAUGACUUCGGCCACCAUGACGAAAAUGGCAACAUAGCAUCAGGGAACAACGUACCUCCAGUUGGCCUCGAUGGAGUUUCGACUGUAGAUCCAAUCGACGUUAGCUCGCAUAUAGCCGUCAAGGAAAAUUUGAUCAUAGAUCCCGAGAGUAGCAUUUGUAGGGAUGUUCGAUCGGCCGCUCAGAGCGCACAUGGUGGCGAAGAGGGCGGAAUCAGCCUUCGAGUGAUCUUCAAGAUGUUGCAGGCUCAACAAGCUGCGAUAACCCAACUCCAAAACCACAAUCAUGCACCAAGCAGGAUCGAGCCCGAGUCGUCCCAGAAAGUUAUUCACAGGGUCAAAUCGGUGCCAAGAAAAUUGAACGGGAAUGAAUCGGGGACCGAUCCCGUAAUCAUAAAGAUGCUCGAAGAACUAAUGAAACGAGUUGAGUUGGGGGAAAAGAAGACCGAAGCAAACGAUAAGAAGGUGGAAACUUAUAACUCCAGAGUUGAUCCAAUCCCGGGGGCACCACCAAUAUUGAAGGGUUUGAAUUCCACAAAGUUCGUAAAAAAGCACUUCCCCCCAAGCGCGGCUCCCAAACCGAUCCCCAAGAUGUUCCGCAUGCCCGAGAUUCCUAAACCCAAACGAGCAUGUCACCUCUUACACAUGUGCAAUUAAAGAGAAUGAUCUAGAGGACGACGAGAUCGAAUCCGUAUUACUAAAGAAAUUCGGGGAGACCCUGUCAAAGGGAACUAUGAUAUGGUAUCAAAGGAAAUGUUUACAGGGAGCAACCCGCCUGUUACAUGCCGCAUUUUCGUAUGUUAAAGUUUUUGUAAGUUAAUCGAUGCAAGUUCGGGAAUAAAAUUAUUUCGUGAUUAUAAGCAUUAUGUUAUUUUAAACAAGUGAUGAGUAAAUUGGUGAAGGUGAGAGAGUAAUCAAAUCGAAGAAAAUAAAUUUCGUCGAAAUUUGAUAUUUUGGGAUAAAAUAUGGCCCGGGCUAAAAUACCUGGUAUUUAUGGACUAGUACCAUACAAGGUACCACAUGGCCAUGAUAGUAAGAUAUAUAAGGUAUGUGAGAAGUGGGUAGCAUUUUAAGUAAGUGGAAAUAAUUUUUAAUUAUGAGAGUAAUUGAUUAAUUAUUGGGUAAUGGGACAUUACCUAGUUAAUUAAUAAUUAGUGGUAGAUUAAUUGAAGUCUUUGGAUAAAGACUGAAGCAAAAACGUGGCAGUAACUCAAUCUAUGUUUGAUGACUCUUACAAGUUACUUGAUAAGGCUUAUGUUGGCUUAGUCAUCAACUUUGGAAGGUUUAGUCAUUGAUGCCUCAUUCAUUUUAAGGAAAAUGGAUGUAAAGUUGCAUAGUAACGUUAUGGUAUUGGCUUAGUCAUCAACCUUGGAAGGCUUAGUCAUUGAUGUCUCAUUCAUUUUAAGGAAAAUGGAUAUAAAAUUGCAAAGUAACGUUAUGGUAUUGGCUUAGUCAUCAACCUUGGAAGGCUUAGUCAUUGAUGCCUCCUUCAUUUUAAGAAAAAUGGAUAUAAAGUUGCAAAGUAACGUUAUUAGCUCCAAAUGGCAAUGGUAACGUGAGGCUUCUCCAAAAAUCACAAGUUAAAAGAGGGUCAUAUUCAGUAAGGUAACCGUCUUAAACAAAAUUUCAUACGAGAUUUCAUAAGGUAAUAGCAACGGGNNNNNNNNNNNNNNNNNNNNNNNNNACUUACUAUAUUGAGAGAAUUGAGUCAGUAUCAGCAGGUAAGCAUAUCUUCAGAUUAUCUUUGACUCUCAGUUACUUUCAGUUAUUAUAUUAUCAGUUCAAUUUUAGCUUUCAGUAUAUUGCCUUAUAUACUCGGUACAUUAUUUGUACUGACGUCCCAUUUACCUGGGAAUUCUGCGUUUUAUGCCCGCAGGUCUCGAUAGACAGGUCGAGAAUCCUCCAAGUAGGCAAUCAGCUCAGCGAAAGAUGUUGGUACACUCCAUUUGCUCCGGAGUUGCUUGUUUUGUCAGUAUGAUUUAGAUGUGUAUUGUUUGGUAUGGCGGGGCUCUGUCCCUACCUUUAUGACAAUUAUAUAUUCUUAGGGGCUUGUAGACAGAUGCCAUGUACGUAAACGAUUGUAUGGCCUUGUCGGCCUAUGUUCAGUAUACGAGUGGUUAUUUUGGCUUUAUAGGCCCAUAUGUCUUAUGUAUAAGUUGGUGUCAUAUGUUGUAUUCUACCUAGCUCACGGCAGCCUCUCCGGCUCAGUUAUCUAUGAUAGUAUGAUACGAAAAGAUAUUUUAUAUUGGUACUCGGUUGAGUAAGGUAUCGGGUGCCCGUCGCGGCCCAUCGGUUUGGGUCGUGACAAAAGCAGUAUCAGAGCAGUUUUGUCCUAGGGAGCCUACAAGCCGUGUCUAGUAGAGUCUUGUUUAUGGGUGUGUCGUGCACCACACUUAUAAGCAGGAGGCUACAGGGCAUUUAGGACUAUCACUCUUUUUUCUUACUCUAGAUCGUGUGGUAGAGCUCAUUUAUAAGAAUUCAAACUCCUAGCUUUUAUUUUAUCCGUAAUAUGAUGAUACCUCUUUUUGGUAAGAGAUUGAGUGCGGAUAUGGAAGAGUUGAGUCAGAGGAACUCGAUUUUUCAUGAUGCUUAUGAUGAGGAAAUGUAAGGUAUUCAGUAGAUCAUAUGUGUACUAAGAUGUGUAAGCCUCUUGAUAAGGAGCCUUAAGGCAAGGAUAUCUAUCCACCCCUAUGGUGAAAGGCAAUCAGAGAUUCAGAAGAUAGUACAAGUCUCAACAAGUAAAAGAAGCAAGGUGAAGAAGGGUACGAGGCGCCCAGUUAAUGAAGACUAUCAUUAUUUACCAUUCAGGAUGGGAGAAAUAAGCAUUUUGAGUUACCUUCAACGGUAGCAGGGGUAUGUACAAACGGCCACACUCAUCUCAUUUAUGUCAUAUGGAAGUUAACAAAAGUAGUAUAACAGAAGGAUGGAUAUCGGGAUCUAGCUGGGGUUAGAGUGACCCAAAAUAGGGAAUGAAAUGUUUGCGUUAGUUGACAUUUCCGAAGGAUAGUGCAAAUAUGCUAAUAGAUAUCCUUGUGAGGCACCCAGAUAGUGCACUCUACAAUAGUACGGUUAUGUAUGAGUAUUACAAAGACAGGCACUGGAAGCCUUGAAAGGGAUAAAUAUUAUCUUAGUAUGGCUCCCGUCCCUAGUAGAGAGAGAAUGUUAAAUGUUACAUAGUCUAUAAUCGAGGGAAGGAAAAGAUGAGAGGUGCCAAGCCUGGAGAUAACCAAAGAAUAUAGGACAUAAGGUUGUAUCCUCAUUUCGAGAAAUAAGUUCGUGACUCCAACGCGGUUGUCAGGAGGAAAAGUUGUGAAUACCUAAUUUUUGUAUUAUUUUAGCACCUCCUAAAGUCAUUAGUGUUUUGUUGCUUUAAUUAUAUUUCUCAAUUUUUGUGUCUUUGAUUGUAUAUUUCCAAUCAUAAAAAUACCAAAAAAUAGUUCUUUAUUUAUUUGUGCAUUUUAGGAAUUAACUAACUAUUCAAUUGGUGAAUUUAUCUAGUUAAUUGAUCAUUUGAAUAAGUUACUUAAUUAAUUUAUUUGUUUGUGUAAAUUUAGUUUAAUAAGUAGGAUUAAGAAAGAAAUUGGGCCAAAUUUGAAAGAGAAAGUGGCCAAAAGUGCAAGAUAAGAGGCUGCCUUUGAAAGGGUCCGGAACGACGUAGUUUUGUCUCAAAACUACGUCGUUUCAUUAAGUGACCCAAGAUCAAAUCUCACCCAUUGAUCACCCAUUGAUCUAAUGGUCCAUAUUUGAUCUCUCAAGAGGUAUUUAAAGCCUCAAAAAUCUGAAACAUUCCCUCAUUUCACCCAUGACUCUUUCUCUCUUCUCUCUCUCUUCUCUCUCUUCUCUCCACCGCCGUCGCCGCCGCCAGAAAUCACCCACCGGCGGCGGACCACCUCCAAACACCUCCAAAUUAACACCAUAUAAUCUCCACAACCUCCUCUUCCCAUAUCUCCAAACCAAUUCCUUCAAAAAACCCUCAAACUCCUUGAAUUUUAGAUCUAAGAAACUUUAGCCGCCACUUUUUUGCCCAAAAUCUUGAAGUUCCGGCCACUACUACCCCCACAAUACCUACAUCAACGGAUAGAACUCAUCAAGACCUACCUAUUGAUGUCAAUUUCAUCCCGAAAAUCCGGCAACUAAAAAUCCGGCCAAAUUCCGACGACCACCCCGAACACCCUCAAUUAGUAUACCCCUAUUCUCAUUUCCUUUGUCUAUUUUUUUCUAAUUGUAUUGUAUUUAGUUUAUGUCUAGCAUAAUUUCUGAUUUUUUUUUUU